CCUACGGGUGGCUGCAGUAGGGAAUCUUUCACAAUGGGCGAAAGCCUGAUGGAGCAACGCCGCGUGCAGGAUGAAGGCCUUCGGGUUGUAAACUUCUUUUAUCAGCGAGAAAUAUGAUGGUAACUUAUGAAUACGGCUCGGCUAACUCCGUGCCAGCAGCCGCGGUAAUACGGAGGGUGCAAGCGUUACUCGGAAUCACUGGGCGUAAAGAGCGCGUAGGCGGGAUGGCAAGUCAGAUGUGAAAUCCUAUGGCUUAACCAUAGAACUGCAUUUGAAACUGUUAUUCUAGAGUAUGGGAGAGGCAGGUGGAAUUCUUGGGGUAGGGGUAAAAUCCGUAGAGAUCAAGAGGAAUACUCAUUGCGAAGGCGACCUGCUAGAACAUAACUGACGCUGAUGCGCGAAAGCGUGGGGAGCAAACAGGAUUAGAUACCCUAGUAGUC
This 440-nucleotide ribosomal RNA is filed under the name uncultured bacterium. Its description in RNAcentral is "partial 16S ribosomal RNA". It matches the Rfam family "Bacterial small subunit ribosomal RNA", at positions 338 to 795 of the family's 1533-position model. The record is from RNAcentral.